Long non-coding RNA from Acinonyx jubatus (cheetah), 1770 nucleotides. RefSeq lists it as uncharacterized. Lineage: Eukaryota; Metazoa; Chordata; Mammalia; Carnivora; Felidae. The record is from RefSeq and is a predicted model, not a curated record. The transcript is spliced from 3 exons.
UUGCUUUUCUGAGCCCAUGACUUUCAUCUUGGUUUUAAGGAGGCUUCCCUCUAUGAAUCUAAAAUUUAUUGUAUGUGGAAUACAAAUUGAAUAAAUUAAAAUUCUGCUUCUGAUAUCUAAAAUGAAUUGUACAGCAAGAUAACAGCCAUGUUAGCUAAGUAGUUCUCUAGCGAUGGAAAGAGGUCACUCCUACCUAAGGCCGCCAGGCCUUCCCUGGGGUAAAACACACUCCUUUUUGAACUAAGGGGAACUGAGGCAAGAAGAAAAGAGUAAGAAAGUGGCAGUGAAGGGAGCAGAUGUCUCUGUACUUUUCUCUCUCUGGGCUUUGGCUCUGGCCUAGAGCUGAGCACACAGAGAGUAGAGAGGUACUCUUUCUUCCUCUUCAUCAUUUGAGACUCUGGGAGGAAGCAACCAUGCUGGCUGCCUUACACCAAGUUGAAGCACAGUCACCUAAAAAUGAACUACGGUCAGGUAGCUUUCCUGGGCUGCCUUUGAUCCUAUGUAGUAUACACUGACCCCAAGUUAUUGAGCAUCUGACUGGAGAGCUUGCCAGGAGUCACCUUAGCAGAACACGAGGCCUAGUGGCCAGGAUUUUAGAGAAUACUUGGACCAAAUGAGAGGCACAGCCAGACCCAGAGCAGUGACCUGGACUAGUGGGAGAUAAUGAGACAUAGCCAGCCAGGGGUCACUACUGUGAGACCAGAGAAGCCAAAUCACAGUUGCACCCAACUUAAACUUCAGCCUUAAAUACCUCCAAAGGGACCUUGAGGAUGCCAGUGUGACCAGAGAGAAGCCUAAGGGACAGAGACAGGAGAGGAGGUCAGAGAGGUGACUGUGAUCAAAUCACAUAGGCUCUUCCAGGAUACUGUAAAACCUAAAUCUGUACCCAGAGGGACAUAGAGAUCAUUUAAGAACUUAGAGCAGAAGAGCGGCAUGAUCUGACAAGUUUUUAAAAGGACAUUGGGGCUGCUGUCUUGCAACUAGAUGGGAAGAAGCAAGAGGACAAGAUGAGAGACUUGUAAGAAGAGGCUACUACGGUGAUCAGGUAGCUGAGAAGCUUGCCUGAAUUCCACAGGAGAAUUGUAGGUCCUACAGCGGGAGGAAACAGUGCUUCCUCUUACCUCACAGCUCUUGUAUCCAGAACAUGCAGGCUCCUGAAGGCAGGAGUCAAUGAGAGCCCAGGACCACACAAUGACUUUGGAUGCACCUAUGGAAAGGGGCAAGAGUAGAGAAAUCAUAAGUCCAUUUAUUUGGGUCUCCUAUAAUAUAUUUUAGUGAAGAUAAAUAACUUUCCUUCAUAGCAGUCUUGCACAAGUUUUGAAUCUUCUCUUUAAUUAUGUUUUCUAGCUGUUUCUUGCUGGUGAAUAGAAAUACCUCUGACUUAUAUAUUAAUCUUAUAUCCAGCUACCUGAUAAGCUCUAUUUUUUCAAUAAUUUAUAUACCCUUUUGCGUUUUCUGUAUAAGCAAUAAUGUCUGAGUGUGGCGGUUUCACUUUCUCCUUUCCAAUUAUUAGGUCUGUAAAAGCAGGGUAAUAAAUGGAAUUGCACUGUUGUAAGGUUAUUACAUUUGUGAAGCGGGGAAUGUAAAAUGUCAAGUGGAAAGUGAUAAUUGAAAAAUGGGAAACAACUGUUGGAUAUAAAAUGUAAAGUGUGAAUAGCAACAAUAUCGAUAGUAAAUAGACACUGAUGAGGUAAGUGAUCCUAAUGUUAGUCUUAGAACAAACUGAGAGACUAAGAGAAAAAUUACCAGGUGUACUCACAACUGCAAAGA